This 554-nucleotide ribosomal RNA is filed under the name uncultured Gammaproteobacteria bacterium. Its description in RNAcentral is "bacterial SSU rRNA". It matches the Rfam family "Bacterial small subunit ribosomal RNA", at positions 18 to 546 of the family's 1533-position model. Lineage: Bacteria; Pseudomonadati; Pseudomonadota; Gammaproteobacteria. The record is from RNAcentral.
CAUGGCUCAGAUUGAACGCUGGCGGCAGGCCUAACACAUGCAAGUCGAGCGGCAACGGGGGGAAGCUUGCUUCCCUGCCGGCGAGCGGCGGACGGGUGAGUAAUGUCUGGGGAUCUGCCCGAUGGAGGGGGAUAACCACUGGAAACGGUGGCUAAUACCGCAUAACCUCUUUGGAGUAAAGUGGGGGACCUUCGGGCCUCACGCCAUCGGAUGAACCCAGAUGGGAUUAGCUAGUAGGUGGGGUAAUGGCUCACCUAGGCGACGAUCCCUAGCUGGUCUGAGAGGAUGACCAGCCACACUGGGGCUGAGACACGGCCCAGACUCCUACGGGAGGCAGCAGUGGGGAAUAUUGCACAAUGGGCGCAAGCCUGAUGCAGCCAUGCCGCGUGUAUGAAGAAGGCCUUCGGGUUGUAAAGUACUUUCAGCGGGGAGGAAGGCAACAGCGUAAAUAGCGCUGUUGAUUGACGUUACCCGCAGAAGAAGCACCGGCUAACUCCGUGCCAGCAGCCGCGGUAAAAUCACUAGUGAAUUCGCGGCCGCCUGCAGGUCGACCA